Molecule: ribosomal RNA, 505 nt
Filed under: uncultured bacterium
Lineage: Bacteria
Description: partial 16S ribosomal RNA
Rfam family: Bacterial small subunit ribosomal RNA
Source: RNAcentral
GACGAACGCUGGCGGCGUGCCUAAUACAUGCAAGUAGAACGCACAGUUUAUACCGUAGCUUGCUACACCAUAGACUGUGAGUUGCGAACGGGUGAGUAACGCGUAGGUAACCUGCCUGGUAGCGGGGGAUAACUAUUGGAAACGAUAGCUAAUACCGCAUAAUAUUGAUUAUUGCAUGAUAAUUAAUUGAAAGGUGCAAUUGCACCACUACCAGAUGGACCUGCGUUGUAUUAGCUAGUAGGUGAGGUAACGGCUCACCUAGGCGACGAUACAUAGCCGACCUGAGAGGGUGAUCGGCCACACUGGGACUGAGACACGGCCCAGACUCCUACGGGAGGCAGCAGUAGGGAAUCUUCGGCAAUGGACGAAAGUCUGACCGAGCAACGCCGCGUGAGUGAAGAAGGUUUUCGGAUCGUAAAGCUCGGUUGUAAGAGAAGAACGGGUGUGAGAGUGGAAAGUUCACACUGUGACGGUAUCUUACCGGAAAGGGACGGCUAACUACGUG